Molecule: ribosomal RNA, 505 nt
Filed under: uncultured bacterium
Lineage: Bacteria
Description: partial 16S ribosomal RNA
Rfam family: Bacterial small subunit ribosomal RNA
Source: RNAcentral
GACGAACGCUGGCGGCGUGCCUAAUACAUGCAAGUCGAACGCACAGUUUAUACCGUAGCUUGCUACACCAUAAACUGUGAGUUGCGAAUGGGUGAGUAAUGCGUUGGUAACGUGCCUGGUAGAGGGGGUUGAAUAGUGGACAAGAUCGGUAAUAGCGCAUAAUAUUGAUUAUUGCAUGGUAAAUGAUUUAAAGUUGCUAUUGCAUCGCUACCAGUCGGACCUGCGUUGUAUUAGCUUGUAGGUGGGGUAAAGGCUCAACUAGGAGACGAGACGUAGACGACCGGAGAGGGGGAUCGGCCGCACUGGGACUGAGACACGGCCCAGCCCCCUACGGGAGGCAGCAGGAGGGAAUCUUCGGCAAUGGACGGAAGUCGGGACGAUGAACGCUGCGGGAGUGAAGAAGGUAGUCGCGUCGUAAAGCGCUAGUGUAAGUGAAGAAUGGAUGUGAGAGUGGAAAGUGCACACUAUGACGGUAUCUUACCAGAAAGGGACGGCUAACUACGUG